CCNCUAUGCCCAGCCCUAAAUCCAGAUGUUCACACCUACCAGAACAUCCGCCCGAGAACUACGAGCACAAACGCUUAAAACUCUAAGGACUUGGCGGUGCCCUAAACCCACCUAGAGGAGCCUGUUCUAUAAUCGAUAACCCACGAUGCACCCAACCACCCCUUGCCAAAGCAGCCUACAUACCGCCGUCGCCAGCUCACCUCUUAUGAAAGCACCACAGUGAGCACAACAGUCUACCCCACUAACAAGACAGGUCAAGGUAUAGCUAAUGAGGUGGAAGAGAUGGGCUACAUUUUCUAAGCUAGAAAACACACGGACGGGGGCAUGAAACUGCCCCCAAAAGGCGGAUUUAGCAGUAAAGCGGGACAAAAGAGCCCCCUUUAAGCUGGCCCUGGGGUACGU
This 402-nucleotide ribosomal RNA is filed under the name Atelornis crossleyi. Its description in RNAcentral is "partial 12S ribosomal RNA". It matches the Rfam family "Bacterial small subunit ribosomal RNA", at positions 787 to 1384 of the family's 1533-position model. The record is from RNAcentral. Lineage: Eukaryota; Metazoa; Chordata; Aves; Coraciiformes; Brachypteraciidae.